AUUGAACGCUGGCGGAAUGCUUUACACAUGCAAGUCGAGCGGCAGCGCGGGGGCAACCCUGGCGGCGAGCGGCGAACGGGUGAGUAACAUAUCGGAACGUACCCCGUCGUGGGGGAUAACACAGCGAAAGCUGUGCUAAUACCGCAUACGACCUGAGGGUGAAAGCGGGGGAUCGCAAGACCUCGCGCGAUGGGAGCGGCCGAUAUCGGAUUAGCUUGUUGGUGAGGUAAAGGCUCACCAAGGCGACGAUCCGUAGCUGGUCUGAGAGGACGACCAGCCACACUGGAACUGAGACAGGAUCAAACUCU
This 308-nucleotide ribosomal RNA is filed under the name uncultured bacterium. Its description in RNAcentral is "bacterial SSU rRNA". It matches the Rfam family "Bacterial small subunit ribosomal RNA", at positions 30 to 339 of the family's 1533-position model. The record is from RNAcentral.